This 468-nucleotide ribosomal RNA is filed under the name uncultured bacterium. RNAcentral describes it as "partial 16S ribosomal RNA". It matches the Rfam family "Bacterial small subunit ribosomal RNA", at positions 28 to 507 of the family's 1533-position model. The record is from RNAcentral.
GACGAACGCUGGCGGCGUGCUUAACACAUGCAAGUCGAACGGAAAGGCCCUGCUUUUGUGGGGUGCUCGAGUGGCGAACGGGUGAGUAACACGUGAGUAACCUGCCCUUGACUUUGGGAUAACUUCAGGAAACUGGGGCUAAUACCGGAUAGGAGCUCCUGCUGCAUGGUGGGGGUUGGAAAGUUUCGGCGGUUGGGGAUGGACUCGCGGCUUAUCAGCUUGUUGGUGGGGUAGUGGCUUACCAAGGCUUUGACGGGUAGCCGGCCUGAGAGGGUGACCGGCCACAUUGGGACUGAGGUACGGACCAGACUCCUACGGGAGGCAGCAGUGGGGAAUAUUGCACAAUGGGCGAAAGCCUGAUGCAGCAACGCCGCGUGCGGGAUGACGGCCUUCGGGUUGUAAACCGCUUUCGCCUGUGACGAAGCGUGAGUGACGGUAAUGGGUAAAGAAGCACCGGCUAACUACGUG